Molecule: non-coding RNA, 65 nt
Organism: Phrynosoma platyrhinos (Desert horned lizard)
Lineage: Eukaryota; Metazoa; Chordata; Lepidosauria; Squamata; Phrynosomatidae
Source: the annotation of a GenBank genome assembly
GCCAGUGUGGCAUAGUGGUUAGAGUGUUGGACUCUGGAGACCAGGGUUCGAUUCCCGCUCGGCCA